AAUAGAUACCCGGGUAGUCCUAGCUGUAAACGAUGAGCACUAGAUCGAGGGCCUGCACAGGCUCUCGGUCGUAGCGAAAGUGUUAAGUGCUCCGCCUGGGGAGGUAUGGUCGCAAGGCUGAAACUCAAAGAAAUUGACGGGGGCGUCACACAAGCGGUGGAGGAUGUGGCUUAAUUCGAGGCUACGCGAAGAACCUUAUCCUGGUCUUGACAUGUUUUAGAACUCUCCUGAAAGGGAGAGGUGCCCGCAAGGGAGCUAUUGCACAGGUGCUGCAUGGCUGUCGUCAGCUCGUGUCGUGAGAUGUCGGGUUAAGUCCCUUAACGAGCGAAACCCUUGUCACUAGUUGCCAGCGAGUAAUGUCGGGGACUCUAGUGAGACUGCCGGUGUUAAACCGGAGGAAGGUGGGAUGACGUCAAGUCCUCAUGGCCCUUAUGACCAGGGCUGCACACGUCCUACAAUGGCGCGUACAAAGCGAUGCAAACUCGUGAGAGCCAGCAAAUCGCACAAAGCGCG
Molecule: ribosomal RNA, 513 nt
Filed under: uncultured bacterium
Lineage: Bacteria
Description: bacterial SSU rRNA
Rfam family: Bacterial small subunit ribosomal RNA
Source: RNAcentral